UAAAUACUUCCUUCGUCCUAAAAUUCUUGUCUUACCUCUAUCUAGAAGUGAAUGUAUCUACAUACUAAAACUUGACUAGAUGCAUUUGUAUCUAUACAAAUCUAAAACAAGAAUUUUGAGACAGAUGAAAUAUAAG
Molecule: non-coding RNA, 136 nt
Organism: Hordeum vulgare subsp. vulgare (domesticated barley)
Lineage: Eukaryota; Viridiplantae; Streptophyta; Magnoliopsida; Poales; Poaceae
Source: Rfam